Molecule: ribosomal RNA, 344 nt
Filed under: uncultured bacterium
Lineage: Bacteria
Description: bacterial SSU rRNA
Rfam family: Bacterial small subunit ribosomal RNA
Source: RNAcentral
CCUUGGUGGGGGACAACCGUGGGAAACUACGGCUAAUACCGCAUGAUCCCUGAGGGGCAAAGGCGAAAGUCGCCUGAGGAGGAGCCUGCGUCUGAUUAGGUAGUUGGUGGGGUAAAGGCCUACCAAGCCUGCGAUCAGUAGCUGGUCUGAGAGGAUGAUCAGCCACACUGGGACUGAGACACGGCCCAGACUCCUACGGGAGGCAGCAGUGGGGAAUAUUGGACAAUGGGCGCAAGCCUGAUCCAGCAAUGCCGCGUGGAUGAAGAAGGUCUUCGGAUUGUAAAGUCCUUUUGGCAGGGACGAUGAUGACGGUACCUGCAGAAUAAGCUCCGGCUAACUUCGUG